RNAcentral lists this unclassified non-coding RNA (387 nucleotides) under soil metagenome. RNAcentral describes it as "partial contains 5.8S ribosomal RNA, internal transcribed spacer 2, and large subunit ribosomal RNA". The stretch from base 1 to 120 matches the Rfam family "5.8S ribosomal RNA", at positions 35 to 154 of the family's 154-position model. The record is from RNAcentral.
GAUGAAGAACGCAGCGAAAUGCGAUAAGUAAUGUGAAUUGCAGAAUUCAGUGAAUCAUCGAAUCUUUGAACGCACCUUGCACCCUUUGGUAUUCCGAAGGGUAUGCUCGUUUGAGUGUCAUUGUACUCUCACACUUCUAAUUCCUUUCGGGAUUGGGAGCGGUGGACUUGGGUGUUGCUGCUUUAGUUGUGGCUCACCUCAAAUAAGUUAGUGCAACUCUUGGUUGGACAUAGUACGGCGUGAUAAGUGUCUUCGCCGGCGCCUCUGUAAGGAGGGUGGCCGAUCGGGAGCUCAGUGCUUCAAACCGUCUUCGGACAAUCUUUGACAACUUGACCUCAAAUCGAGUAGGACUACCCGCUGAACUUAAGCAUAUCAAUAAGCGGAGGA